UGCGAAGAUUGAAAGGGAUCUUUGCAAACACAAUCACGUUCUUAAAUGGAAAUGCGGGGCUUUAAACAAAUCUUACAUCUCUCCAGUUCCAGUCGCCUAAAAGUCCGCAAUCAGGCGCAUGUUCCACUCCUUCUAAAACCGAAGCUUUUUGUAAGCUUUUUCAGGCAUCACUCUUUAUUUUAAUUAUUUACCUGAAUGAAUUUUUUUUUUAUCUCACGCGCGUGUUUAUGUUGUUCUCGUCUCUCACACGACACUGCUCUCUGUUUGUAGGCUACAGUGGGACGCACUGUACUAUUUAUUCAUUUGAAUCCCUGGACUAGAGCACGAUUUAACGAGUUCCAAACCUUCCAUCUAACUCCAUGACGGGCUUGAAAGCAUCAGGCUUGGGAUGCCUAAGCCCCUUCUCAGCUCCUGUCUGUCUGUCUGUCUGUCUGUCCUGUCUCCUGUCCUGUCUGCUGGGGUGUUGGUGCCUGGGCUUCAACCAUCAGCCCUAACCUGUGUGGCUUCCUGUCCGUCCACAGAGGGACCCAAUCCUCUACUUUGAAUUCAAGGGGCCUGAAGACAACACAGCCUCACGCAGGCUCAGCAACACGCAGGUUACGACCCCAACAGGACAUACCACGCCACCCGGCGGGCUGAGUUGUUACGCACUACACGUGCGUGUGUGUGUAAGCCACAGGAGGUUGGUGGCCCCUUAAUUGGGGAGGAUGGCCUCGUGGUAAUGGCUGGAGCAGAAUCAUGGUUUCCAGGUGUUUGAUGCCAUUCCAUUCGCUCCGUUCCUGCCAUUAUUAUGAGUCGUUCUCCCCUCAGCAGCCUCCACUGGUGUAAGCAUGUUGCCCCCUGCCGAAUGUCCAUCCGUCCUGCGUCUCCCCCUCAGCCCACCCAUCCUUCCUCUCUACCUAGCCACCCUUUCAUCCUCUGUCUCUUUUCUUCAUACUGGACCGGAAAAUGAACGAGCAAAGUUGGCCUCGCGGAGAGAGCUUGCGUCCACGUUAAUUGAAGUAAAUGAAUAGAUAGAUUCACUUCUGCAGGUUGAAGGUUGUGCAUUUAUGACAAAUUACAUCAAUUAAAGGGAUCGUUUGCUGUGUUGUUUACUCCAUUCAACCUGGAAAACUAUCCCUUUAAAUAUUUACAUACUGUAGAUUUUAAUAAGAGGACACAUAUGGAUUUUCUUGAGUACACAAUUUAAAAUAUGUAUUUCUAUAAUAGGAGGAUUGUGUCUCUGUUGAAAUUGAGAGGAUAUUUGGUUUGGGUACCGCAAAAAUUAAUUUGAAAAACCUCUCAGUUAAGAAAAGGUUAGUAACAGGUGAGGUAAACGUUUUGAAAAAAACAAAAGCUGUAAAAGUUAUGUGAAUCAGUGCGAUAUGGCUGAACUAUUUUCCAUUUGACUAUUGCAUAGUUUUUGGUCGGUAACAUCAAUUGAUACUAUUCACAAUGGAAGACAACAAGUUGAAUGUAAUGACAGUGUACACACCUACUUCAAUAUCAGGCAGGGAUACUAGAUAUUGCAUACAUGAGUUAACCUGCGGUUAUUUUUCUUUUGGUUUAUUAGUUAUUCUCUUUCUAUAAUCCUGUAAUCAGAUUUAUCCUCGUGUACCGUUAUAGAGGGAUAUUAUUUAAGCUGGAUGUCUUUGAGUGUCAUGUCAGUAAAUGUUCACUAGUGGGUUUAAAAUGUUCAGACAGAUAGGCUUACUAUCUUGAUCACAUUUUGUUUCUGAUUUACCUUUAAGAAAUAGUAUGCUUAUUAAAAACAUGCAUCAGUAAAAGCCGGGAUAACGAACCUACAACAUGCAGUAUAUCAAACCCAUUAAGAAAGUUAAGGCAGACUUCUUACAAUACGUAAUUCCCAGCAGCUGAGCGAGGUAGAGAGAGAGAGAGAGUGAUAGAGAGAGAGAGAGAGAUAGAAAGACAGAGACCUUAUUUGAUCCAGCAGACUUUUCUCUGGGGUGUAGAGUGAUCAGUCCUGCCCCUCCGGUAACUCCCCUAGUUCUGGCACAAUAACAGACAACUUCAGCCUUACACACACACACACACACACACACACACACACACACACACACACACACACACACACACACACACACACACACACACACACACACACACACACACACACACACACACACACACACUACUGCGCACAAACCAGAUAACUUAGCUGCAGUCAGAGGCCCACUGGAAAGUUAUUAAUGAGCUGUUUAAUUUUAAUUAGAUAGUAAUUCAUGUUAAUGCUUGCUUAAUGGAGCCAAAUAAUUCCCCUCGGUCACUUGGGGUCUUUAUGCUUCGUUUACCGGCCCCUGCAGUUAUUCUCCAUUUUGCCUUUAUAUUAGAUUUCAAGUCUUUCGAGAGAAUGGGAUUAUACAAUGAAUAUGGGAAACAUAUGGAGCAACUGAAGCGUGUGUGUGUGUGUGUAUGUGUGUGAGCACAUUCAUUUCUGUAAGUGUGUGUGUGCCUACUUGCAUACGCUAGCGUGUUGGUAUGUGUGUGCAUAUUCAUUUGUGUGUAUGUGUGUGCAUCCAUUUGUGUGUGGGAGCUAGCAGGUGGCUCUCACUUCUAAAUGCACCACCCACUAAAUGAAUUAAGUCCAGAAAAACAAAAGGUCAAGCUGAGUAUUGAGGGCACACUGGGGUCGAAACCUUAGGUGGAAGUGCAGCCGGUAGUACAUCUCCAUACGCCGACAAACUAGUACAGGGGUCGCGACCUGAGCAUGAGGGUAUGGUAAAAUGAGCAAACCUCUAGUCGUGUGCUCAGGCUGUUGUAGUUGUUGUGUUUUCAACACACCUAGAGGGUUAAAACAAUGUUAAAUAUAGGGGUGAGUGUAGGAGUAACCAAACGUUUGUGCCCUUACCAAACAAGGGGUCAUGGCUAAGGCACUGACCAGCCAGCCUGUCUCUCUGCUGUCUGGCCUGUGUGCGUGCCGGGUCUACGCCGGGGCCGCAUCAAGGCACUAAGCCAGCCGGCUGAAUUGAGUUAGUGGCUACAGACGGCUUUUAAUUGUUGAUUGACCAGUCUGAGUGCUGCCUGUGCCGGGGUCACUAAUGAUAGCACAGGGGGAGGUCCCUAGGCCCCAGCUGCAAUUUCAGCCCCACUCGACCCAGAGAGACGGAGGAGAGCGGAACAAGAUGGAGGGACUGACGGAAGGGAGGAGGGAGGAAGGAAGGAGGAGAGUUUAAGAGAGAAGGUUAGAGAGGAUAUGGGAUGUUUCUGUUCUUGUUUGUUUGAUCGAGAAAUUGAUUAAUUAAGGGGUUAUUACACCUAGAUAAUACACAUGGGCUGAUGGGUCCCACAUACAAGCACAUCAGUUAUUGAAGCUCACGUCCAAGCUCAAGUAUGCUGAGCCUACCCCCGUACAACAAAUCCAUAUUCUUUGAUCCGUUUGACGAUUACAAAUUUGACUUUGUAUUCGUUCCAUUUUUUCCCCAGCUCAUUCUCUACUUCUCCUUCAUCCUCUCCCUCUUCUCCUCCCUCUCUUCUCCUCCCUCUCUUCUCCUCCCUCUCCUCUCCUCCCUUCCUUUCAUUUGGCACGGAGGCACCAAAGCCCACUCUUGCUGUUUAAGCGGGGGUGCGCUCCCUCGCCCCUUUCGCCCCUCUCCCUCACAGCAGGUGCGUGUCCUUCCCUAACAUUUGUUAUCUCUAAUCCUGCAGGUUCCGAGCACAAAAAGAGCGUAGUAAAGUCUCUCACCACCCUAAUCCCUCCAUCCCUCAACUCCUUUUUUGAUGGCGUUUUUUUUCUCUCCAUUUUUGGGGGAAGGGAGGGAGAGUCACUUCACUCUGAUUACCACACAGUUUUAUCUAUCUGGGAGCCCCUUGGAAAUUCAGAAUUGUGGGGGCUUCGUCUGUUUAGCUCCCUGGUCCCGACUUUCCCUUUUCGCCCCCUCUUACCCGUAUCAUUUACAGUCAUUUUCUGGCAAUUAAAAGGGAGCACUGCUGCAGGUUUUUGGCCUGCAGUGCCCGCUACAUCAUUGAUGAAUAAUUCUUCAGCUGCAAACUGGAAAGCUAGCCUUUCUUUCAUGUGGGGCUUUGUUGAUUUACCAUUAAAACUUGCUCUGCGGUGGGCUUUGCUGUGUAGGGCUGCUCUGUGGUUUGGUUUGUGAUGGAGGGGGAGAAAUUAAAUAUGAAGUGUACAUAUGCUUCAUGUCAGUUUUCUAAAGUCUAAAUUUGGUAGCGUGUUGACUCAUUUUUAUAUUUCUGCGCAUCUGGAAGGUUUGAAUUAAUAUAUACUGUUCAUUCUUUUCUCAGACACAUUGUGCUCAGACUUUAUAGUAUUACUUCAUCUAAAUUAAUCUUCAUUCAUUCAUUGAUUCAUAUAGCUAUUGCUAGCUGCUUUAUUAUUGUGGUUACUUAUGAGUGAUUUGACAUCACACACAGAGACAGAUCUAUCACAUAAUCACACGCACACAAACACGCAUGUAUGCACACACGCACUGCACCCCCCCCCACACCGUCUCUCUCUUUCUCUUUCUUUUUUCUUUCUUUCUCUCUCUCUCUCUCUUUCUCACUCACUCUCACAUACGCACGCACGCACGCACGCACACACACACACACACACACACACACACACACACACACACACACACACACACACACACACACACACACACACACACACACACACACACACACACACACACACACACACACAGGUGUUGACAGUAUAGUAAAUUAACGAUGCAGGUAGCCAGCCCAGCCCCACUGAAUCCAUCCCUCUCCCGUGUCCCAGAGCAGCCGCUCUGUUAACUGCUCCAGCCCUGGGUAAUGGAUGGCAGCCGGCUCUGUUAACUGCUCCAGCCCUGGGUAAUGGAUGGCAGCCGCUCUGUUAACUGCUCCAGCCCUGGGUAAUGGAUGGCAGCCGGCUCUGUUAACUGCUCCAGCCCUGGGUAAU
RNAcentral lists this long non-coding RNA (4882 nucleotides) under Salmo salar (Atlantic salmon). Its description in RNAcentral is "lncRNA (ENSSSAG00000085406.1)". The record is from RNAcentral. Lineage: Eukaryota; Metazoa; Chordata; Actinopteri; Salmoniformes; Salmonidae.